Molecule: non-coding RNA, 30 nt
Filed under: Mus musculus (house mouse)
Lineage: Eukaryota; Metazoa; Chordata; Mammalia; Rodentia; Muridae
Source: RNAcentral
UAACUUGUCAUUAGACCAAAUAGAGGCAGC